CACCCAGCUUGAGUGACAGAUUGAGAGUCCAUCUCAAAACAAACAAACAAACAAACAGAAAAGACAAACCAGUAGGUCUCUGAGGUAGUCUGAAGGCCUUCCUGUUACUAAAAUACAUAGGCAUUAAUACACGGGAUUUAACUGUUUUGGUGACCUGUAGGCCAUUUUUGUUUUUCCCUGUUUCUUAGCUGUUCAGGGAGUUGGAAUUAUUAAAUAAGUAAGAUAUAACUGGAUGUCACACGAUUUUUGUCCCCCUUUUAAAGAGACAGAGUACGUUGCCUGGGCUGAAGUCAGACUCCUGGGCUCAAGUGUCUGCCUUGGCCUCCUGAGUAGCUGGGACUACAGAUGUGUUCCACCUUGCCAGGAUGAUUUUGGCUCCUGAGGAUUACAAUCUAGUAUAGAAAACAAACCUCACGAUUGACUUAAAGUGCAGGAUUUUACAGGCGUAGUGUUCAUUUAGUAUUGUAUAAUGGUAUAAUACCUUCUGUGUGGAGUGCCUGUUUACCAUGUGCCAAGUGCUACACUGGUUGUACUUCAUACAGGACCUUUGCAGGUCUUCAAAGCAAUCCUAUGAGGGAAAUAUUAACAUCAUCUCAUAUAGAUAAUGCUGAACUACAGAGAGGUUAGACAACUUACUCACCUUCCUAAGAGAUUUAAACUCAGGUCUGUCAGAGUCCAAAGGCCGGAUGGUUUUUACCACAGGGGACGAGGUGGACCACAGUCAUAGAAAACAACUGUGUGUAGAGAGGAAUGAUUAAUUGAGCUGGACCUAAAAGGACAGGUGGGGUUUUGGUGUGAUGUGUUAGGUUGGGUUGGGAAGGUGAAUGAAGGAUGAAGGAGUUCUUUGGCUGGGAAGAGAGUCUGAGCAAAGUGGACCUGAAUAUCCUGCAUUGAGGAAGUGGGGUGGAGGCGAAGUGAUCACUCUGUGACCAAAGAGAAGGCUGAAAUUUGAGAGGGAGUAAGAAGUAAGGUGAGAAAAUUAUUAUUAUUAUUAUUAUUAUUAUUAUUAUUAUUAUUAUUAUUAUUGAGAAAGAGUGUCUGUCUGUCACCCAGGCUGGAGUGCAGUGUUUCGAUCUUGGCCACUGCAGUCUACGCCUCCCAGGUUCAAACGAUUCUGUUGUCUCAGCCUCCCAAGUAGCUGGGAAUACAGGUCCACUGAAUGCGGUCACAGUCAUGGCAAAUGUCAUUGUAUUCAUGUGCUUAACACAGAUGUAAUGUUUUCUAGAGGAUAUGCUAAAACUCUUGGAGGGAGUGGGGGGCGGGGGUUAUAAAUCUUUGUAUUAUUAUUUUUCUGUUAAUGUCAAAGAACAGUUCAUCCUUCUGGGUCUGUAUGUUUAAACUGAGAGUGAAUAUAAUAUGAAUUUACGGUACUUAUGUUGGAAAUUGCUACCCUCAUUUAGAAACCAUUAACCUUUAUGUUAAUAAAAUAAUGUUCUUAACUGAGCAUAUGAAAUCUGUGUUGAACAGCUGUGGUCUUUCCGGAACACUAACUUAAAAAGUGCUCAUCAUACUUUUUGAAAAUCAAAAGCGUGUGGGUGGGAUGAAGUCACCUGAGCAAUUUUCUAUAAUUACAACUUUCAAGGCCUUUUCCUUUGUUUUCCAGCUAACCUAAAAUACACAUGCAUGCAUGUGCACACUCACACAGACAGCAGCACAAACCUGUGAUUUUCUUCGUUUUCGCUAUGGACUUUUUGGCCUUGUUUUUGUCAAAUAAUUGCAGUUCCCCAGGAGGGUAUGUGUUUUCUUGUUCCUUCUCUAGUUUAUUUGAAACCUUUUAUCUCUGAGAACUUUGGAACCCCCAGAACAGGCUAGAUGUCCACCUAGACUUCCAACCUUGGAUGCCCCAUCCUAAAGCAUUUCUAGGUUCGUUGGAUCUAAACUGAUUCCCCUAGGGUAAUACUGGAAACGCCGAAAUGCCGACAUCCUAGAGAAUGACCAGGAACAUGCUCAAGUUGUUACACAACUUUUUGUAUGUGGCUGAGGUUCCUCAGUGCCAUCCGGGUCAGCCAGUACCGGAAUGUGACGGAACUGGCAUUUGUGCCCAGGAACAGCCCACGCUGGGAAUCGCUUCUGCAUUCUGAUAAUUAAGUCUGGUGUGCUGCUUAUAUUGUUCCCUGAAGGAAGGAGGGCUAGGGAAUAAUAUCAUUUCCACUUGUACCUUUUAAUUAACAGAGGAAUGGAAUGGAAAGGGUUUUAAAGAAGACUUUCAUGAGAGAGGAUUAGUACCUGACAUAGUUGGGUAUUUCCAUCAUCGUUGAACACAUUUUAAGAAUACCACUGCCAGUUUUUUCAGUGAGCUAACUGAAAAUGGCUUAUUUUAGGUGUAGAAUAAAAUUAUUGGUUUUCCAAGAGCAUGCAUUAAGAAGUGCCUUGCUAAGAAGAAGUGCCUUGCUAAGAAGUGUUAAGCAUGAAGUAGUGUAAUAUGUCUGUCUUACUAUUUUAGCGGUCACUCCUUAGUUUUCCUCUUCUCUUUCCCCUAAGUAACCAAAGCUCUUCACCUAGAAUGGAAUUUGGGGCUUACAUUUUCUUUAAUAUCAUAUAGCUCUUUCCUGUUACUGAAAGCAGAGAGAGCUUUUUCGGGGAGGUUAAAAUUAUCGUUAUCUUGUUAUCGCGUUAUUUUUUCCUUCUUAGUAAGUUAGGAGCAAUGCUUUGUCUUCCUGAAGCUGUCUGAAAAGAUACUCAUAUACAUGUGUAUAGUGCCUUGGGUAACAGAAAUUAGGUUUUAUGUCAUUUGUUUCAGAAGAUACACUAAUACAUCAAAAGCAAGUGACAGGGAAAACAGAAUGCAGUUAGUAAUCUUGUUGCCUCAAAACUGAGCAAAUGUUUUGGGAGAGCAAGUUCUUGCUGGACAUCACUGAAUAAGAAUGAGUUGAUGUCACACUUGGCAAGAAGCAACUCUUUAAAUUUUUUUUUUUUUUCCAUA
This is a long non-coding RNA of Cercocebus atys (sooty mangabey), 2923 nucleotides long. RefSeq lists it as uncharacterized. The record is from RefSeq and is a predicted model, not a curated record. NCBI's taxonomy places the organism in Eukaryota, Metazoa, Chordata, Mammalia, Primates, Cercopithecidae. The transcript is spliced from 2 exons.